Molecule: ribosomal RNA, 465 nt
Filed under: uncultured bacterium
Lineage: Bacteria
Description: partial 16S ribosomal RNA
Rfam family: Bacterial small subunit ribosomal RNA
Source: RNAcentral
GAUGAACGCUGGCGGCGUGCUUAACACAUGCAAGUCGAACGAUGAAGCCCAGCUUGCUGGGUGGAUUAGUGGCGAACGGGUGAGUAACACGUGAGUAACCUGCCCUUAACUCUGGGAUAAGCCUGGGAAACUGGGUCUAAUACCGGAUAGGAGCGCCUACCGCAUGGUGGGUGUUGGAAAGAUUUAUCGGUUUUGGAUGGACUCGCGGCCUAUCAGCUUGUUGGUGAGGUAAUGGCUCACCAAGGCGACGACGGGUAGCCGGCCUGAGAGGGUGACCGGCCACACUGGGACUGAGACACGGCCCAGACUCCUACGGGAGGCAGCAGUGGGGAAUAUUGCACAAUGGGCGAAAGCCUGAUGCAGCGACGCCGCGUGAGGGAUGACGGCCUUCGGGUUGUAAACCUCUUUCAGUAGGGAAGAAGCGAAAGGGACGGUACCUGCAGAAGAAGCACCGGCGAACUACGU